This 410-nucleotide RNase P RNA is filed under the name Fibrobacterota bacterium. Its description in RNAcentral is "Fibrobacteres bacterium (bioreactor metagenome) RNase P RNA component class A". It matches the Rfam family "Bacterial RNase P class A". From Rfam's summary of the family: Ribonuclease P (RNase P) is a ubiquitous endoribonuclease, found in archaea, bacteria and eukarya as well as chloroplasts and mitochondria. Its best characterised activity is the generation of mature 5'-ends of tRNAs by cleaving the 5'-leader elements of precursor-tRNAs. Lineage: Bacteria; Pseudomonadati; Fibrobacterota. The record is from RNAcentral.
GAAGCGGGUCGGGCGGCCGCGUUUGUCUGGAGUGCGAAAGCACUUUACAGGCAAAUGAGGAAAGUCCGGGUACCAAAGGGCAUGAUGCUUCCUAACGGGAAGGCGGGGCAACCCGACGGCACAGUGCAACAGAAAAUAGACCACCACGUGUGUUCACUGUAGGGGCAGGCAAUUGCCUGCCCCAAACAUACACACGAGGAAAGGGUGAAACGGCGAGGUAAGAGCUCACCGCCCGUACUGGUAACAGUCGGGGCAAGGCAAACCCCAUCAGGUACAAGGCCAAAUAGGGAAGGAUGGAACGGCCCGUUCCGUUUGAACUUCCGGGUAGGCUGCACGAGGUACGUCGCGAGGCGUACACUAGAGAGAUGGUCGCACAAAUACAGAACCCGGCUUACAGAUCCGCUUCUCCC